Molecule: long non-coding RNA, 2953 nt
Filed under: Salvia miltiorrhiza (redroot sage)
Lineage: Eukaryota; Viridiplantae; Streptophyta; Magnoliopsida; Lamiales; Lamiaceae
Description: long non-coding RNA (SMIL_LNC006903)
Source: RNAcentral
AAUAAUUUGAAUCUACAUCUUAAUCUAUAUCUCACAGUAAGUAAGAUAUAUAGUGAAAUUAAACACGUCGUUAUGUUUAAAAAGAAUUUGAAAUUAAAAUCAUUUACGCUAACAACUGCGCGCCUUGAACCAUCGUAAAAAUAUCGGAUUUUUUUUCCUAAAUAACGACCCUUUUUCCGGUCGUUAGUUAUAAACAUAUUUUUUUGAAAAAAAUAAAAAUAUAACUAUCGUAAUUCGGUUGUUAGGCCCGCCAUUUUAAUGAUCGUUGUUAUUUCCGGUCGUUGCUUGCAUAUUUUCUUGUAGUGACAUUUGUACUAUUUUGAAUUUGGUGGCAUCUCUAGAUUGAUUGAUUUCUUGCCACCCAUUUUGAUGUAGAUAGAGGCUGCUGGUGUACGUAGCUAGUGGUAGUGGUAAACUGUAACCCUACCUCAGUAUACCAAAUAGGCAAAUAUUUCUAUAAAUAGCAUCAAGGAAGAGAGUGAAGAAUACCAUUAGAGAGAGAGAGCUAGAGAUGGAGAGAGAAGUAAAACACAUGGUGUUGGCAAAGUUCAAAGAAGGCGUAUCUAAGGAAGAGAUUGAAGAAUGCAUAAAACAGUUUGCCAACCUUGUCGAUCUUGUUCCUUCAAUGAAGGCUUUCAAAUGGUGCUAUAUUCAUUCUUAUUUUUCUUCACUUCACACACACACAUACAACAAAUACAUAAUAUAACCUUUCAACCUUAUGUAAAGAUUCAAUUAAAUAUGUAUGAAUCGGUGCAACUGUUCUUUACUUGAAGUUGUUGUGUGGCAGGGCUAAAGAGCUGAGCAUUGUGAAUUUUCAUCAAGGUUUCACACAUGUCUUUGAAGCAAUAUUCGAGAGUGCAGAAGAUGUUGGAGAUUAUCUUGCUAAUCAAAAUCACGUCGACUAUGGAAACUUUUUGAUGCCUCGACUAGACAAGUUCAUUAUAAUCGAUUUCGAGCCCACAAAUAUCCAACCCUAAUUUAGCAAGGGUGUGACUAAUACUACAUAUUUAUUUAUCUAAGUAAUUCCAUUUAUGUUGAUCAAAUAAGAGUUGUCAUUUUGUUGACAAUGUGUUCUCUAGUUGCACCUCUAUUUCAAGAUUGUGGUCCUUUUGCUGCAAGUUGUGGAAUUUUUUCUUGUAAAAGUUAUAUUGUCGAGAUUUGAUGUUAGUAUCAUACCUCAAAUUUCCAUUUAUGGUUUUCAAAUGUGUUUUCUAAUUGCACCUUUAUUUCAAUUGUGUUCCUUUUGGCAAUGGUUGUGGAAGUUUUAAUUUCUUGUAAAACUUAUAUAUAUUGUCGAGAUUUUUGAUGUUGGUAUUAUACAUCAAGUUUAUGAUUCUACAAUUUUACAAUUUGUUGGUGUCGGACUUUUACCUAUUUUACAAUUUCAACUUAAUUAGCUUUUUAAAUGUUAUAAAUAAGUAUCCAAUCUUUCAUUUUUUUUGCAAUUAAACUUCACUUUUUUUUUCUUCUUUUUUUGACAAUUCAAACUUUCAAAUUUAUGUUGCUCAAACCCUUGAAUAAAAAAAUUAAAAGCUGAUCUCUAAAGGUUCCGAGGAGAAUAUCAUAAUAGAAUAUGGGCCGAAGUCUAAUAUAUUUCACGAUGCUGAUGAAUUUCAUUUGAGUAUUUUUCAAUAGCAUUUAAAUUAGGAGUCUAAUUUUAACGUGGUGAAUGCCGAUAUUAAAAUAUUAAAAUAACCUCAAGCCUGUUUAAAGUACAAAUUUAUUUAACUUUUAUAAAUAUUGAGAAUAAAUGAGAUUUAAAAUAAAGGAGAAAGUUAUUAAAAUGAAAACACUAUAAUUUUUAUAGAUGAAGCAAUAUGGUAAUACGAUUAUAAAUUUCGUGGACGAAGGCAGCACCUAUUAAGUCAUUAGAAAAUAGUAUAGUUUAUUAUAUUUUGUAACUAAAUUGAGUUUUGAUGGGCUAUAAAUCUUGCAAUGAGUCAUAUUCAUCUAAGAUAGUGAUUACAUUGGGCUUUUACUCUGCACAAUCGUACUACAUUUUCUAGGCCUACAACCAAUCCAUCAAAUAAUAUUUGUGUGAGAGGUGUCUCAUAAUUAAACGCACUAAGAUUCAGAUCCAAAUUUAUUUAUAUUUCAAUGGCAUAUUUAUAGUAUUUGUAAUUGUAAACAUGUAUUGAAAUUAAAAAUAAUUUGAAUCUGAAUCUGAAUCUAUCUCCACAGUAAUUAAGUAAAUUAAUGUAACACAACAUUCUCCCUAUUUUGAAUAUGCUGAUGUGGCAGGUUGAUUUCUUGCCAUCAUUUUUGAAGAUUUAAUUAGAGGCGGCCAGUGGUAGUGGUAAAAUAAAAUGUAUUAUACCAAAUACUUUGGUAGUGGUAUACCAAAUAUUUCUAUAAAUAGUAGUAUUAAGAUGAGAGUGAAGAAUGCAAUUGAAAUUAAGUGAGUGAGAGAGAGAGAGAGAGAGAGAUGGAGGAGAGCAAGAGAGAAGUAAAACACAUAGUGUUGGCAAAGUUCAAAGAAGGCUUAUCUAAGGAAGAGAUUGAAGAAUGCAUCAAACAGUUUGCCAACCUUGUCGAUCUUGUUCCUUCUAUGAAGGCUUUCAAAUGGUGCUACAAUCAUUCUUAUCAUUCCUCACUUCACACACACAUACAACAAAUACAUAAUAAACUUUCAAUCUUAUGUAAAGAUUCAAUUAAAUCUCUAUGAAUUGGUGCAAUUGUCUUUACUUGAAGUUGUUGCGUGGCAGGGGUAAAGAGCUGAGCAUUAUAAACUUUCAUCAAGGUUUCACACAUGUCUUUGAAUCAAUAUUCGAGACUACAAAAGGCGUUGAAGAUUAUCUUUCUGAUCAAAAUCACGUUGACUACGGAAACUUUUUGAUGCCUCAACUAGACAAGUUCCUUAUAAUCGAUUUCGAGCCCACGAAGGUCCAACCCUAAAUUACCAAGGGUGUGACUAAUACUAUAUAAAUAUAUCUAUCUAGUUUCCAUUUAUGUU